This 254-nucleotide ribosomal RNA is filed under the name uncultured bacterium. Its description in RNAcentral is "partial 16S ribosomal RNA". It matches the Rfam family "Bacterial small subunit ribosomal RNA", at positions 524 to 776 of the family's 1533-position model. The record is from RNAcentral.
UACGGAGGGUGCAAGCGUUAUCCGGAUUCACUGGGUUUAAAGGGUGCGUAGGUGGGCUUGUAAGUCAGUGGUGAAAUCUCCGUGCUUAACAUGGAAACUGCCAUUGAUACUAUGGGUCUUGAAUUAUCUGGAGGUUAGCGGAAUAUGUCAUGUAGCGGUGAAAAUGCUUAGAUAUGACAUAGAACACCGAUAGCGAAGGCAGCUUGCUACACAAUUAUUGACACUGAGGCUCGAAAGCGUGGGGAUCAAACAGG